GAUUUUGAGUGAUUUGAAUAUGAAGUAACUUUGUAAGAGCUUUACAAAGUCAUAGUUUUUUUGGAUGAUUGUAGAAUUUAUAAAAUAUAAAAGAUAAUACAUUUUGAAAAAUUUCAUAAGUUUAGUAAUAGAUCUACACUUCAAAAUUUAAGGACUUUUGUAAAUAGUUGUUUAAAGUGUAUGUUGUAAGUUUGAGCUUGAUUGAAUAAUUGAAUUGAAGAUUAUUGAAUUUCAAGUAGGUUGAGGUCUCAAAAAUUAGACUUUGAAAGGUAGUUAGGAUUUCUAAGUUCUUUAGCAAUCCACUAGUUUGAUUAGAGUGAAAUUUAUGUAUAAAGAUAAUAGACUUGAUUUGCUAUACACAUCUGAAAUUUAAAAAUAAUUAAUUAGUUUCAAAAAGAGAUAUUGGCAUUGGAAUUUUAACAUUUAGAUUGGAAUAUGAGGCUGGCCUAUACCUGAGCAGGUUUUAGGAUUUUUUAUUCAUUUUUUAAGUACAAUUGUGAGUCCCACAAAUUGAUCUUAAUUAGUGGAUUAAUUAAAAACAUAGUUUUAAGUUAUUCAAUUAUACAAAUAUUAAGAGUAGAGAGUUUUUUUUUACUAUUUGAGUAUUUAUUAUAAUUUAGAAGUAUUUAUAAGUUGCAAAAGUGUUAUUAGAAGAAAAGUUAUAAAAAUGGAGUCUUAGUAAGUCUUAGAGGCAAUUAUCUUAGUUAGUUUAGUAUUUUUUUUAUUGUUAAGUAUUAAGAGUUAGUUAUUGAAACCAAUAUCUUCAUUGG
RNAcentral lists this long non-coding RNA (770 nucleotides) under Physcomitrium patens. Its description in RNAcentral is "long non-coding RNA (PPAT_LNC008150)". Lineage: Eukaryota; Viridiplantae; Streptophyta; Bryopsida; Funariales; Funariaceae. The record is from RNAcentral.